GUAGGUGAACCUGCGGAGGGAUCAUUACCAGAGAUGGCGGGCCCCCGCGCCCCCGUCCCCAACCCUUUGUUGACCAAAAACCAUUUUGCCUCGGGGGUAGAGCGUCCGCCGCCGCCCCCGGAGGACCACCGAACGCUGUCUCUGUACGUCGGAGUAUUGAUUAAAUGAAUAAAAACUUUCAACAACGGAUCUCUUGGUUCUG
Molecule: unclassified non-coding RNA, 202 nt
Filed under: rhizosphere metagenome
Description: partial ribosomal RNA internal transcribed spacer region
Source: RNAcentral